GUGCAAACUCAAUCACUAAUGCUGUUGAGCAAAAGCAAGGGAAACCAGGUUUGCAAAGUAAUUAUGGUAGAAAUGUAUUAGCCUCAGGAUCUACUGGAGUGGUCCAUUCUAUCCUAAUACAGUA
This 124-nucleotide small nucleolar RNA is filed under the name Dasypus novemcinctus (nine-banded armadillo). Lineage: Eukaryota; Metazoa; Chordata; Mammalia; Cingulata; Dasypodidae. The record is from RNAcentral.